GAUGCUGACAGCUUGAGAUCGGAAGGUUUGGAAACAAUGAAUGCUACUCGGAGCGGAUAUACAAUACCCCGGCGGCCCAUGGUGGGGGGAGGUGGCAGCAGGAGGACAGAUGGUCUCCCUCAUGGUGGCUGAAAUAAAAGAGGGAAUUAGACUACUCCAAGGUGUACACUCUGACGGCAAUUACGGCAAAUAGAUUGGAAGUGGACCUCCAGGCACCCGGGGAGGCGGCUCCUGGGGGAAGAGCUCCACCUCACUGCAUCUGGAACCUUGUAAUGGUCGGAGUGAGACAAUCCAGAGAGUGUCAUGGCGUGACAUUUACUGCCCUUUCUCUGGAGAAACAGGUAAGCAGAGCACAGCAUCUACAAAGUAGUCCCCUUUGACACCAGCACUCUACAAAUCAAGUGUGA
Molecule: long non-coding RNA, 407 nt
Organism: Syngnathus acus (greater pipefish)
Lineage: Eukaryota; Metazoa; Chordata; Actinopteri; Syngnathiformes; Syngnathidae
Exons: 3
Source: RefSeq, a predicted model, not a curated record